Molecule: ribosomal RNA, 174 nt
Filed under: Triticum aestivum (bread wheat)
Lineage: Eukaryota; Viridiplantae; Streptophyta; Magnoliopsida; Poales; Poaceae
Description: partial small subunit ribosomal RNA
Source: RNAcentral
CUCUCCACCAUUGCGGUGCUUACGGCUUGGUCUCUUUGGCGUCACCGUAAUGAUGUGAUCUUCGACAAGAUAGCUCCCUCCUCUACCUCUCUCCUAGUGGCAAUUCAAGAAGAGGCACGCUCCUGGACGAGCGCCGGAGCCAAAGGACUUAGCACUAUUAUUCCUGAAAUGUAG